This 23-nucleotide non-coding RNA is filed under the name Arabidopsis thaliana (thale cress). Lineage: Eukaryota; Viridiplantae; Streptophyta; Magnoliopsida; Brassicales; Brassicaceae. The record is from RNAcentral.
CGGUUGACAUCUACGAGCACGGC